UGAAUGGUUAAACCAAGUGUUUCAGUCAUGUCCACACCCUCUCCAGGUUCUUCCCAUAUAGAUGGAUCUCUCGAUACCGCCCAAAUGUUCAUCAUCACUCGUGUACCUGAUGGGAUAUCGUAACCAUGUAGUUUGACGUCUUUAGUUGGUGCACGAGGACCAAGUAUUGGAGCUGGAGGAUGUAGUCGUAAGGAUUCUUUAAGGACCGCUUUUAGGUAAGGCAUUUUGUCUAGGUCGUCUUCGGGGAUCAUUGAGCUUCCUUGUCCUAUUUUGUGUACCUCUUGUUGCAAUUCUUUCAUAACACGUGGGUUUUGUAAUAGCUCAUUAAUCGCCCAGUCUAUGGGUGUGAAUGUUGUAUCAGUGCCACCAACAAACAUGUCCUACGAAACAAGAAUCAUAUCACACAAAUAUAUAGGUGAUGGU
This 423-nucleotide long non-coding RNA is filed under the name Helianthus annuus (common sunflower). Its description in RNAcentral is "sRNA HanXRQr2_Chr01g0027471". Lineage: Eukaryota; Viridiplantae; Streptophyta; Magnoliopsida; Asterales; Asteraceae. The record is from RNAcentral.